Molecule: long non-coding RNA, 687 nt
Filed under: Medicago truncatula (barrel medic)
Lineage: Eukaryota; Viridiplantae; Streptophyta; Magnoliopsida; Fabales; Fabaceae
Description: long non-coding RNA (MTRU_LNC000957)
Source: RNAcentral
CAAAGCAUUCUCCUACUCCUAAACCACCAGUUCAUAAACCACCAAGAUAUCCUCCUAAACCAUCACCUUGUCCACCCCCAUCAUCAACACCAAAACCACCUCAUCAUCCCAAACCCCCAGCAGUACACCCACCACAUGUUCCAAAACCACAUCCACCUUAUGUUCCAAAACCACCAAUUGUUAAACCUCCAAUAGUACAUCCACCUUACGUACCAAAACCCCCAGUUGUGAAACCACCACCAUAUGUCCCUAAACCACCUGUUGUGAGACCACCCUAUGUUCCUAAACCACCAGUUGUACCUGUAACACCACCUUAUGUUCCUAAGCCACCAAUUGUUUUCCCACCACAUGUUCCUCUACCUCCAGUUGUACCAUCACCACCACCUUAUGUACCAACACCUCCAAUUGUGAAACCACCAAUUGUUUUUCCACCACAUGUUCCUCUACCUCCAGUUGUGCCUGUAACACCACCUUAUGUGCAACCACCACCUAUUGUAACUCCACCAACACCAACACCUCCAAUUGUGACACCACCAACACCACCUAGUGAAACACCUUGUCCUCCACCACCACUUGUACCUUAUCCACCACCACCAGCACAACAAACAUGUUCCAUUGAUGCUUUGAAGUUGGGUGCAUGUGUUGAUGUGCUUGGUGGACUCAUACAUAUUGGUAUAGGUGGAAGUG